CCCCUAGACGUUCUGGGCUGCACGCGCGCUACAAUAAUACGCACAGCGAGUAUCACCGAGCUCGAGAGGGCAAGGUAAACAAUAGAAAAGGUACUGUAAUGGUUAUAGAUCCUUGUAAUUAUUGAUCUUCAACGAGGAAUUCCUAGUAAGUAUGUGUCAUCAUCACGCACUGAUUACGUCCCUGCCCUUUGUACACACCGCCCGUCGCUCCUACCGAUUGGGUGAGCCGAUGAAACUCUCGGAUGUAGGCUAUUCAUAGCCCGCAGAAGAGAUUUGAAUCGUAGCGCUUAGAGGAAGGAGAAGUCGUAACA
This 311-nucleotide ribosomal RNA is filed under the name uncultured eukaryote. RNAcentral describes it as "partial 18S ribosomal RNA". It matches the Rfam family "Eukaryotic small subunit ribosomal RNA", at positions 1470 to 1796 of the family's 1831-position model. The record is from RNAcentral.